This 409-nucleotide RNase P RNA is filed under the name Bacteroidia bacterium. RNAcentral describes it as "RNase P RNA component class A". It matches the Rfam family "Bacterial RNase P class A". From Rfam's summary of the family: Ribonuclease P (RNase P) is a ubiquitous endoribonuclease, found in archaea, bacteria and eukarya as well as chloroplasts and mitochondria. Its best characterised activity is the generation of mature 5'-ends of tRNAs by cleaving the 5'-leader elements of precursor-tRNAs. Lineage: Bacteria; Pseudomonadati; Bacteroidota; Bacteroidia. The record is from RNAcentral.
AAUGCAAGCCGUCUUAUCGCCCAACCUGUAUAAGGUUUGGGAGGAAAGUCCGGGCAACAUAGAGCAUCGUACUUCCUAACAGGAAGGGGCCGACAGCAACGUUAGCCACAGAUAGUGCCACAGAAAAUAAACUACCAGGCUCGACUUGUCGAGACGGGAAAAGGUGAAAAGGCGGGGUAAGAGCCCACCGCUCCAAGGGUGACUGCGGGGGCAUGGCAAACCUUACGAGUUGAAAGGCCAAAUAGGCUCCGAUUUGCGAACGGCUCGUUCCAUUCAGCUUCGAUUUAUCGGGGCAGAGUAUCGGGGCGGGUAGGUUGAUUGAUCCUGAUGGUGACGUCAGGACUAGAUAAAUGAUAAGAACCCUGACUUGUCAGGAGGACAGAACCCGGCUUACAGGCUUGCAUUACUU